This is a non-coding RNA of Chlorocebus sabaeus (green monkey), 2910 nucleotides long. NCBI's taxonomy places the organism in Eukaryota, Metazoa, Chordata, Mammalia, Primates, Cercopithecidae. The record is from RefSeq and is a predicted model, not a curated record.
GAAAGUCAACAUCAGUAUUUCCUGUCCUGGGGACAAACCAGUGCCUCAUGUUUCUGGAAACGCUGCAGUAUUUGACUUCAAUUUCAACCUGGAUAACGCCAAAGCUUUUCCUCAAAUUCGCCACUGGAGUAAGCUCAUAGAUGCUCUGAUUUUGUUUAUCGUUGCUGCUCCUUAAUAUCUCUUGCACAGGUGCCGUUGACCUUUAGAUGGGCUGUACAGUGUGGGGUUUGGUGCCAUGGAUCUGCUUCUCCAGGGACCAGGAUCUUGAGAUCUUCAGGCUGGGUUUCCAUGGAGGCAUGGAGCUGCUUUUCCUCCUUCAUAACUGCACUCAAAACAGCCCUGUUGCUCUAGAAUGGAGACUUGGGCAACUCCUACUGGCACAGAUUUGUUCACCUCAGGGGAAAUUCAGAUAGAAGCAAGCUGCAGUCAGUUUCACCUGUAAGUCCAUGGGUUCUCAACUGGUAAUGUCCUCUUAUGGAUGUUAGCCCACGAGGUCAAUCCUGUAGCAAUCUAAGGCUUGAGAAGAAUUAAUCUUCUGGAAAAUUCCAAGAAUACAUCUUAGGGAAACUGGCUCUACUUUUAUGACUUGGAUAACACAAGGAUAUGCUUUUCAUGUUGGACUAGAACUCAGAGUAUUGGCCAAUGGAUGUGUUUUCUAAAACUAUCCCAGUGAGUUCACCAUACAGAUGAAGAUUCUGAGAUUCAAGACUCAAGACUGAAGAAGAUCAUUAUUUUUAUUAUUUUAGUCUGAUGCGCAAAAUGGUAUCUACUGAAUAGGCAGGUUUUUAAUAGGUAGCUUAUAUAUAUUAGCAAAAAUAAACACUUUGUCUUUUAGAUCUAUUCCAGUUUUUCAGUAGCUGUAGACUUAAGUGCUAACUUUUAGCCCAUAGGAUAAGAAGAAACCAAGUCCUAAAAGUAGGCCAGCACCAGGAUUCAGGCCUCUGACUUCAAGCCAAGGGUUCAUCAUCUUCAAUCAUGCACGAAUUUUUACAUAGUGCCAGAGGAAACUGCCUGUACUUACUGUUGUAGGUGCUUUGCUGGAUUCAGGAUGCAGACAAGGUCCAUGCACUGUGGUUGGGUGAGGUGUCUCUUAGGUCUCUUUUAAUCUGUAAUACAUCUCCCUGUUUUUUUAAAGUGCAUUUAUUUGUUGAAAAAACUUGGUCAUGGGUCAUUUUUCUGUAGAGUGGAUUAUGUUCUGGAUUUAGCUAAAUGCCCUCUUCUUGAAGAUUUAUCUUCCACACCUCUUACACGUGGUUCAUAUCCAAUGCUUGAUUAAACUCACGUAUUUUUUUAUUUUUUAUUUUUUUGCAAAGCCACUUUGUAUGAAUGCUGUGCACUUCCUGUUGUACCUUCAUCACAUCAGGAAGCAACAAUGUCUGGCCUUCUCGCUUUUAAUGUUGUUAAGAUUGUUCAGUCCUGGAGCAGACACAGCCUUGUUUGCAGAGAGCCAACAUUCUAAUUGACGGUGCAUGGUGGGAAACAGUGAAUGGAGGGAAAGAGUGCCAAUGUCAGAGAGCUACAGUGCAGUGAAGAAGAGAAGGCAAGAGGAUGUGAUGCAAAAUCACAGGACUUGGCUUCCAGACCAUUCUGCUUCCAUGAGAACAUUUUAGUUGAGAACCGGAUGGCAUGAAAGUAAGCCAGAAGAUACCAGGCAGGGACAGACUGGUCCCCAGGUGCGAAUGAGGUUGGAGCAUUUGGGACUGCAAAGAAUGUGGAGCGUGGUGAAUGAGAUGGCCCUUUGUAUCAGAUUCAUGCAUGAGUGGCUGGGGUCAUGUGUGUGCUUCAGUAGAGGGUACAAAGGGCACACUAAGAAAUCUGGGUUUCUUUCUGAGGGCCUGGGAAGCCACCAGAAAGCACUGAGCAGAUAGUGGUGGAUUUAUUUAUGUGUUUAUGAAAUCAUGCUGGGUGCUGGGUGGUGAAUGCUUAUAGGGGCAGAGGGCAAGGGUGGAAUUGCAGAGACCACAGCUAAGAGCCAAUUGCAGAGCCAGGCUCAUUGUGAUUCAACCUGGGAGGCAUUGGGGAUGAAGGAGAUGAGGCCGGUGAAGGAUGCAUUUCUACCUAUAAUAUGGAUUAGGUAGAUGGGUUUAUAUGUAAUGUAGAUUAGACUCAGAAAUCAAACUGGAGCCAAUGGCGGACACCUGAUGGAAGGUGUACUUCAAUUUCUUCCAUUGCAUAGAAAAGCAAUACCGUGGAAAGAGGAUGGGAUCUGGUGCCUCUCAGACAGGAUUCCACUUGCAAGCCGUGUGACAUGGGGCAGCCCACCCGAUCCUGGACCUCCACAAAUCCCUCUGCGACGUGGAGAGAAUCAGAUUUCCCCACAGAGACUCCAUGAAGGGCCCCAGAGCGCACUCUCCGGUUAGCCACUGAUGCAUUCACAAGGAAGAGGAAGAGUUAAAUGUUCCUUUCGAGGAAGCAGUGGUGGCCAAGUGCUGUGGGCAGUGUGAGAUCAGAGCUGACAGCUCAGAAUGUGAAUCGCAGUCCUCACCAGGGCCAUCGCGUGUUGCAGGGAGCUCUUCCCAAGUGCUCACUUUUACUAAAUUACAAAAAAUACAUAACAGGAGAGUUUCUUUGUGUUUUAAAAAUCAAUGACCAAUUUUUGUUUAGUUUUGUUUUUAAAAUACAGUGUUUUCAGAGAUAAGAGUAUUAUAUUGGAAAGCUGUUGUGACACAGAAAAUUACAUGAGCUUGUAGUUGAUUAAAACAGUCAAGUUGACCUACAUGUCAUCUCAGUGCACAGCAAGGAAGCAUCUUCAGCUUAGAAAAUUGCUGGCAUGAACACAAACAAUCUAGUUCUUUGAAACGAGAAUUUUCAGAUUUUAGAUUUAUGGUGAGAAAUAGCUAAGUCCCAGGGCCGGGCACGGUGGCUCGUGCUUGUAAUCCCAGCACUUUGGGAUGCCAAGGCGGGUGGAUC